This is a non-coding RNA of Pangasianodon gigas (Mekong giant catfish), 71 nucleotides long. The record is from the annotation of a GenBank genome assembly. Lineage: Eukaryota; Metazoa; Chordata; Actinopteri; Siluriformes; Pangasiidae.
UCCCUGGAGGACUAGUGGUUAAGCCAUGGAGCUCUUGCUGCUGCGGCCUGGUUCGAACCCUGGCUAGGGGA